GGGGCCGACCGGUUUUGACAGCAUAGGGCAGGGUAAGUAAGCAUGUCGUGCGUUGUGUAAUUAGCACGUAAAUCUGAAUACCCAAAUUUUGAAUGGCGAAUCUAACUUUGCCAUGGCUGCCUAAUUAUUAAUUAGACAACCAUUUUGGCCGCUGAGGGCUUUGACCUGUUGACGCUCCGGCCGCCUAACUCAAACUUCAAUAGGAUAGUACAUGCAGGCUGCGAUGUGUGUAUGAAAACAAAGCAGAUAGGAAGGGUGUAGGUUUGUCCUGGUCCGGCACACUUCCGAAGAUCAAUCCCGGAAUACACAUGUAGAAAGCUUAUCGGGCAUAUGUUUGGACGCGGGUUCGAAUCCCGCCGGUUCCACAA
Bacteroidetes bacterium 43-93 is the source of this 368-nucleotide non-coding RNA. The record is from Rfam. Lineage: Bacteria; Pseudomonadati; Bacteroidota.